Molecule: long non-coding RNA, 250 nt
Filed under: Elaeis guineensis (African oil palm)
Lineage: Eukaryota; Viridiplantae; Streptophyta; Magnoliopsida; Arecales; Arecaceae
Description: long non-coding RNA (EGUI_LNC023318)
Source: RNAcentral
ACACAAAAAUUAAUAUAAAAAUGUUUUUUUUUUUGGAAUAUAAAUGGCUAGAUGUCUGCUCUUUAGAAACUCAACUGCCAAAAGGAGAAACUCAACAACCUCUAGCCCUGAUAUACAAGCAUAACGCCUUCAACGAUAGUGUAAAACCAUUGCCUCAAGUCUGGAGUCUGGAAUAUAUAAAAGAGUUAGCAACACUAACAGAACACCCAAUGACAUCAAAUAACAUCCUUAAUACCAAAAAUACAAUGAA